UGGCUCAGGAUGAACGCUGGCGGCGUGCCUAAUACAUGCAUGUCGAACGAAUCUCUUUUAGAGAUGAGUGGCGAACGGGUGAGUAAUACAUAGGUAACCUGCCCCUGUGCGGGGGAUAACAGGAGGAAACUCCUGCUAAUACCGCAUAGCCAUGAGCACCGCAUGGAGCUCAUGCCAAAUAUCCUUUAUGGGAUAGCGCAGGGAUGGACCUAUGGCGCAUUAGCUGGUUGGCGGGGCAACGGCCCACCAAGGCAACGAUGCGUAGCCGGCCUGAGAGGGCGGACGGCCACAUUGGGACUGAGACACGGCCCAGACUCCUACGGGAGGCAGCAGUAGGGAAUUUUCGGCAAUGGGGGAAACCCUGACCGAGCAACGCCGCGUGAGCGAAGAAGGCCUUCGGGUCGUAAAGCUCUGUUGUAAAGGAAGAACGGCGCAUACAGGAAAUGGUAUGCGAGUGACGGUACUUUACCAGAAAGCCACGGCUAACUACGUGCCAGCAGCCGCGGUAAUACGUAGGUGGCGAGCGUUAUCCGGAAUCAUUGGGCGUAAAGAGGGAGCAGGCGGCCGCAAGGGUCUGUGGUGAAAGACCGAAGCUAAACUUCGGUAAGCCAUGGAAACCGGGCGGCUAGAGUGCGGAAGAGGAUCGUGGAAUUCCAUGUGUAGCGGUGAAAUGCGUAGAUAUAUGGAGGAACACCAGUGGCGAAGGCGGCGGUCUGGGCCGCAACUGACGCUCAUUCCCGAAAGCGUGGGGAGCAAAUA
RNAcentral lists this ribosomal RNA (759 nucleotides) under uncultured bacterium. RNAcentral's name for it is "bacterial SSU rRNA". It matches the Rfam family "Bacterial small subunit ribosomal RNA", at positions 20 to 774 of the family's 1533-position model. The record is from RNAcentral.